Long non-coding RNA from Sander lucioperca (pikeperch), 182 nucleotides. RefSeq lists it as uncharacterized. Lineage: Eukaryota; Metazoa; Chordata; Actinopteri; Perciformes; Percidae. The record is from RefSeq and is a predicted model, not a curated record. The transcript is spliced from 3 exons.
AAAUUAAAGCAUUGAUCUGACAAGAUUAGAAGAUUGAAGUAAGCGAGAGGAAUGCUUUCUCUUUGUGCACAACAGAGAGCGUCCUCGGCUCUCCCCCGUCCUCGCGACGCAGCUUAUGACCUCCCCGAUUGUGACGGAGACCAGAUUCAUCCUGAGAGUCCGAGUCGUCCGUACUGACCCGG